GGGUCCGUACCGCGACUGUGAGUCCGCGGAAGACGUCAAGAGAUAUAAGCCGUUGAUUAGGCGGCGGCGGUGGUGGCGUCUCCUCUACGUCGUUGGAUGAUGAGGAAGGUGUGGUCUCUUGUUCUUGUCCAUUAUUAGGUGAAGUACUAUGGAGGAGAAGGGGUUGCCGUUGUUCAUCUUCUGUCACUGUGAUCAGCGUUGCCAUUUCUCUCUUUUGACUGGUAUGGUUUCUCUUUCGUGUUUUGUUUUCACUCGAUGACGCGAACAACUACUGUUUCAAGCAGCACCCUG
RNAcentral lists this unclassified non-coding RNA (291 nucleotides) under Hevea brasiliensis (rubber tree). The record is from RNAcentral. Lineage: Eukaryota; Viridiplantae; Streptophyta; Magnoliopsida; Malpighiales; Euphorbiaceae.